UCAAUCUAACCUUAGGAUUGGAAUAACCCCGGGAAACUGGGGCUAAUACCUAAUAGGCGAGAAGGUCUGGAAUGACUUUUCACUUAAAGAGUUCUAGGAACAUGCUCCUUUAACUGCCUAAGGAUGAGACUGCGGCCGAUCAGGUUGUUGGUGGGGUAACGGCCUACCAAGCCGAUAACCGGUACGGGCCCUGAGAGGGGGAGCCCGGAGAUGGGAACUGAGACAAGGUCCCAGACCCUACGGGGUGCAGCAGUUACGAAAACUCUACAAUGCACGAAAGUGUGAUAGGGUUAUCCCGAGUGCCGUCCGAUGAGGAUGGCUUUUCCUCGGUGUAAGGAGCCGGGGGAAUAAAAGGGGGGCAAGACUGGUGUCAGCCGCCGCGGUAAUACCAGCCCCUUGAGUGGUAGGGAUGAUUAUUUGGCCUAAAACGUCUGUAGCCGGCUUAGCAAGUCUUUCGUUAAAUCCGGUGACUCAAUCAUCGGGCUGCGAGAGAUACUACUAGGCUUGAGGACGGGAGAGGUCGACGGUAUUUCGGGGGUAGGGGUAAAAUCUUAUAAUCCUCAGAGGACCACCAGUGGCGAAAGCCGUCGACUAGAACGUGCCUGACGGUGAUGGACGAAAGCUGGGGGAGCAAA
Molecule: ribosomal RNA, 635 nt
Filed under: uncultured archaeon
Lineage: Archaea
Description: bacterial SSU rRNA
Rfam family: Archaeal small subunit ribosomal RNA
Source: RNAcentral